CUUCCUGGUUCCGCAGCGAGCGACCCAAUGGUCGCCGCCGCCACCGUCGGUGGCCAGCUGUUCAGAAGUCCAAGACUGAAUGCUCAGGAAGACUAAAGUAUUCUGGAAAAAUAGGCUUGAUAAGAGGAUUGCCUAAAUUUGAAAAAUGUCUCCACAUAAUAGGAAAACUCCACUAUGUCCUCACUACUGCACCUUUCCAAAGGAAUUGUUAUAGGCAAGUACACUGCUUUUAAUUUAUGAUUUUCAAUGUUCUGAGGAGGAAACAAUGGUAUCAAUUCCCUUUACUCUUGUCUCCCUGAAUACAAUUUACCACAUUGCUGUGUGGAGGGUGCAUAUAAAAAAAGAGAAGCUUUUCGGUGUGUUACAAAGAAAAAUAAUUGAUUUCCCCCCUUCUUUGUGUGCUAGUGAAGCUUUGCACUUUAUAAGCCUAGAUUCAGCCUAGUGAGAGAAGGAAAAUUAUGAGAUCAGAAAAAAGAGUAGCAAAUGACUAUAGAGGCAGAGUGCUGAAUAUUGGUGGAAGGACCAAGGUACGAUAAUGGAAGAUGAGAGAACAUAAUUUUCUGAUGUUAACAUAGCAAAGGGUGCAUUCAUACUGCACAGUAAUAGUCAUUUGAUAGUACUUUAACUGCCAUAGCAUCGUUCACUGGAAACCUGUUGUUUGGUGAAAUCCCUAGACAGCUCCACUCAAAAGCUGUAGUACAGCACCUCAAACUAUAGGAGUACCAUUGCAUAGUACAGAAUAACAUAUUAUCUUACAACACCACAAUGGUGGCAUGUCAAUUAAAGUAAGAUUUAACUGCAAUAUUUGCAUGAUGUUAAUAUGUCCUAAGAUAACCUAAAUAUGAGCCAAUAGUUCCCUGAAAUGGACGGAGAGAAUGGGUCAUGUUGACCAAGCCACCAGUUGCCUUGUAGAAAUGACAGACCACACAAAUGGUGACUCCAUUGAGCAGAGCCUGCCAACAAUCCCAUAAACUUCUGAGGCACUCACAUGGAGGUCAUAAUCAAGUGUAACCCACUGCUAAGUCUCAUGUAGACUAUAAAUGUAUGAGGUAAAAACAGACUAAACAUAUAGAAUAUAAAAGUAUAAACCCUGCUGUUAAAGCCAGCAAUUUACAUUUGUUUUCAUGUCUAAAAAUGCAAUGUGUUUGUAAAUCUAUUUGUUAAUUCCAUUGUAAAAUGUUCAGUUCCCUAAAAACAUGACAACAUUAUUAAAUGGCUUAGAGAUUUACUAGUGUUUCCAUUGUCUCUGCUGGAUGUACACAAGCUGAUCUAAUGUGUUAAUUGUUUAGAGUCAGGUCCUUUUGCAAAACUACUGUUGUAUCCUUUUUUAUUACUGUUAAAACCCUCUCUAUGUGGGUGGUAAAUGAUAUUAUGCAGUUACCGCCAUGCCAGCUGGCCACCUAAGUGUCUCACUGUGUGUGUUCAACUUUGUUCAGUUCUGUAUGACAAGAAACAGGGCGGUGACCCCUGUGAUACUUCUGCUUGUAAAUGUAAGCUAGCCUAUAAAAAUGACUGUGAUUCCAUCAACAGUUGGUUGUUCAGUGAAAUAUUCUUUGCUGUGUUAUUUACUGUUCAUGGUCACUGAAAAUGAUUUUGAGAAGAAUGAAAUUUGUUUUCUCUUGGUUACUGAAAGAUGCCAUAGUCAACCACAAAGGAAAACUUGAUUUUAUUUCAGCUGAGGGUUCAAUUAAGUCUGUCUUAUCAUCUUUAUUCAUAUUCCUGAAGCUAUUUUUACCCCUCUUGGGGGGACAAUGUGAAUCUUUUGACUUUAUAUGGGAUUAGAGGCAUGGUUGGAUCAGUUUAUAUUACAUACCGUAACUUUUUAAAGGUUUAAUAAUAAGUUAUGCCCCCCAUGUCAGUGAUUCAUAAUUUCUCACAAAAAUAUAUUCUUACGCAAUAAUAUGUGCAAUACUGUUUUGAUAAUAGUGUUAGUAUUAUCUAUGUAGCCUCACAGAGAAUUAUAAUGGAAAGUAUUUAGAAGAGAAAAGA
Long non-coding RNA from Anolis carolinensis (green anole), 1989 nucleotides. RefSeq lists it as uncharacterized. NCBI's taxonomy places the organism in Eukaryota, Metazoa, Chordata, Lepidosauria, Squamata, Anolidae. The record is from RefSeq and is a predicted model, not a curated record. The transcript has 3 exons.